Molecule: ribosomal RNA, 216 nt
Filed under: Glomeromycotina sp.
Lineage: Eukaryota; Fungi; Glomeromycota
Description: partial small subunit ribosomal RNA
Rfam family: Eukaryotic small subunit ribosomal RNA (bases 44-216)
Source: RNAcentral
GGGUCAGUAGGUUGGUCGUGCCACCGGUACGUACUGGUCCCACUGAUUCCUCCUUCCUGAAGAACCGUAAUGCCAUUAAUUUGGUGUUGCGGGGAAACAGGACUGUUACCUUGAAAAAAUUAGAGUGUUUAAAGCAAGCUAACGCUUGAAUACAUUAGCAUGGAAUAAUGAAAUAGGACGAUCGAUCCUAUUUUGUUGGUUUCUAGGAUUGACGUA